GCUUUUCAGCAGGGAUAAGACUUAAGACAAUCUUAUCUGUUAUUUCUAUCAUUCUGAAGCAACAGAAUGGAAUGUCAGUUGAGAGCAGUAAAGGACUCUAAUUUACCUCACUUUUGUGCAAAGGAAGUCACCACAGACAAGCCAAGUUCCCCAUUUUUUUGGUCUAAUAAUUUUGAGAUCCAGGCUGUGUUUUAUGUGGGGAUGCUCAGGAUGAGGCAGCUAGAUAGAUACAGCCUUGGACCCUUGGAUGCUUCUUAGCUGUAUAACUGGGUAAGUCACUCAUCUUGUGUUUGCCUCAGAUUUCUCGCCUGUAAAAUGGGGAUAAAAACACCAACCUCUCGGGGUUGUUAUGAGGAUCAACCUCAGAUUAUAAUAUAAAUUUUAGUUAUAACCACAGGGUAGUCAGAAUGCACCAAAUGACAUUUUAUCAAUUUUUUGAAGGAUAAAUAAUUUGAAGGAUUCAGAAGAAAUAAAAGACAUGCAUGGCUACACUACCUGCUUUUUGUUCCUAGCCCAGUAUUAUUGUUGGAGAAG
This 534-nucleotide long non-coding RNA is filed under the name Sarcophilus harrisii (Tasmanian devil). RNAcentral's name for it is "lncRNA (ENSSHAG00000022123.1)". The record is from RNAcentral. Lineage: Eukaryota; Metazoa; Chordata; Mammalia; Dasyuromorphia; Dasyuridae.